Molecule: ribosomal RNA, 415 nt
Filed under: uncultured bacterium
Lineage: Bacteria
Description: bacterial SSU rRNA
Rfam family: Bacterial small subunit ribosomal RNA
Source: RNAcentral
AGAGUUUGAUCCUGGCUCAGAAUCAACGCUGGCGGCGUGCCUAACACAUGCAAGUCGAACGAGAAAGUGGAGCAAUCCAUGAGUAAAGUGGCGCACGGGUGAGUAACACGUGACUAACCUACCCUUGAGUGGGGGAUAACUGAGGGAAACCUUAGCUAAUACCGCAUAAUACCUACGGGUCAAAGGAGCAAUUCGCUUAAGGAGGGGGUCGCGGCCGAUUAGUUAGUUGGCGGGGUAACGGCCCACCAAGACGAUGAUCGGUAUCCGGCCUGAGAGGGCGCACGGACACACUGGAACUGAAACACGGUCCAGACUCCUACGGGAGGCAGCAGUGGGGAAUUUUGCGCAAUGGGGGAAACCCUGACGCAGCAACGCCGCGUGGAGGAUGAAGUCCUUCGGGACGUAAACUCCUUUC